CCUGUUCUCCAAGAAUAAUUCCACAGACCACCACAAUCAGAUUGCUUUUCAUAACAAACAACUUCAGGAAUCUCUGUCCCUUGUUUUCUCAGCUUAUCAAAAUGAUACAAUGUUGACAUGCCACUAGGGCCCGCUCCAAUAAUACAUACAUGUUUUUUCUGAGGCAUUUUUCUCACAAAAUCUUAGGCUAAAGUGAAGACGAUGAAUGGUUAAUUUUGUUUCAAUAACACCAAGAGAUGCAGAGGGCUAGGCCUGAUAAGGCUGCUGCCUUUUAAGUUACGUUUACACGCUGCGAUCACAGAGGAGAGAUAUACAGAGAGGAAACAGACACUCGCUAUAACCUCAAUUUUUGUGUCACGUGUUCCACGCGCCACGCAAAAUUUCCCAGCCAGUGCCGUCGCUGAAAUUUCAUAGCAAAAGAUAGGGAAAACGCCGUUUUUCAAAAAAAUGAGAUACCCAUGGAAAUUUUGUUCAAUAAAUUAUUGUAGAAUAACGGUAAGUGAUCACUUUUAUUGAUUUCCUUUUAUUAAAAGUUUUUUCCCUAUCUACUCCUUAUUAAAAUCGUGAAAAGCACUGGCUGGAAAUUUCAGAUGCUCAUGUAUAAAUAACAAAGCAGCGAAUGAUAUAAAUUCCUCAAAAAUAUAACUCUCGCAUAAAAAAAAAUGAAUACUUCUAUAAUAUGUAUAGAUUUAUUCCUCUGCAUUAUUAAAAUUUAAUAAAAUGGUGAAUUAAUAUAAUUUUCUAUAGUUAAUAGACUUAAUGUAUCGGCGUGAUCAAAUUUGCCGCGAGUUUCCUCUCUGUAUAUCUCUUCUCUGUGCUGCUAUUAAUCGUGUACGCAAAAUUUUGUCAAAACUAUGCCGGGGUCACCUACCCUGUGAUGUUGUCAUAUUUUUUUAAAUCUUGAAGAAGCGCUGAUUGGCUGUUGUACUGGAAUCAGUGCACAACAGCCAAUCAGCGCUUCUACAAGAUUUAAAAAAUAUGACAACAUCACAUGGUAGGUGACCCCAGCAUAGCAUAUAGUUUUGAAAAUUUUUUUCAAAAAACCCGAAAAUAAUUCGCUUCCGUUUAAAAUCCUUAGAAUGAACUUUUGAAGUUAAAACUUUGGGAGAAUGUAGUAAAAUUACCCGUGUUUGAAAUGAUGUAUAUUUUAUAUUGUUUUUGCUUUUAAUUUGCGAAAUAUUCAUACUCUAGUAAGCGUUGUAAUAAAUUUCCGUUAAAACUCUUGCCAACCUUGUCAUAAUAAUAAACAAAGUAUAGACUCGAUGCAAAAAUUUUCAACGCGCAAUUUUGGGCUGCCUAUAUAGGCUCUUAAUAGUUAAAAUGUGCAAAAAAGCAAACAUAUUUAAGAAGAAUUGAUGAGUAUCCGUGAGAUAUUAACAACCUGUGAGCUGACCUGAGGUUUUAGUAAAAUCUGUGAUGCUCACGGUGGAUCCGUGAGAGUUGGCAACUUGCCAAUGGCCUCGUUUCCAUGUUAACUUAUUUUAGCAUGUCAAAUUUCAACCCUACUAAGCACAAAACAUGAGUAAAUAUUUGACACGAAAACGAGGCCAUUGAGUGAAAAGUGAACAAACGGUAAGGUCUAUUGCAAUCAAAACGUACAAGCGAGAAAAACAUGGAAAAAACAUAGUUUCAGUGAUGGAAAGCAUUUCACUGAUUUUGUUCUACUGGUUUUCAGACCACUUUAGUUGACAGCAGAAAUUUAGUAUUUUUUUCUACAUUUUGGUAAUUUUUUGCAUGCUUAUUUAAGGCCCUGUCACACUAUUGCGUAUGAGAGAAACGUGUGAGAAUCGUAUGAAAAUUAAUGUAAUAAUUUUCAUACGCACAAAAAUCCUUUGAAAUGCCAGCGUAUGAGUACCGUACAUCCGGCGUACAUGUACCUCUAGCGUAUUCAGCGUGUGCCUAGAGUAUGCUUAUCGUAUAAAGCAUACGUCCGAUACGCACAACAUUUUUGAACAUGCUUAAAAAAAAAUUUCCGCCUCGGCGUAUGCCAGCGUAUGCUACCGUACUUGAAACGUAUACAACCUAUGCCUAACGUACCCCUGGCGUAUGUCAGCGUAUACCGGCGUAUGAGUGAUAUUUUUCAUACGCUGGCAAACGCUAGUACGAUACGCAAUAGUGUGACAUGGCCUUUAGUAAUUGCCUUGCAAAAUAUCUGGUCACACUGGGUACGAGAUUGGUGAUUUGAGUGAUUUCUGAUUUCAAAAUUCACUGAUUUCGCUCGUGAUUUCUUGAUUUCGGGUUUGAUUCUGAGUCGAGUGUACGAGAUUUCAGCCGUGGCGGGCUCCUCGGUUCAGUCACAGGCGGCCCAAUCCCUGAAUGGUCUAUAUAUUUUGAAUAUUUAUACGGAAUAUUUAACCGUUUUAAUAUUUAAUAACGAAAU
Molecule: non-coding RNA, 2380 nt
Organism: Paramuricea clavata
Lineage: Eukaryota; Metazoa; Cnidaria; Anthozoa; Malacalcyonacea; Plexauridae
Source: the annotation of a GenBank genome assembly